This 502-nucleotide ribosomal RNA is filed under the name uncultured bacterium. RNAcentral's name for it is "partial 16S ribosomal RNA". It matches the Rfam family "Bacterial small subunit ribosomal RNA", at positions 28 to 507 of the family's 1533-position model. The record is from RNAcentral.
GACGAACGCUGGCGGCGUGCCUAAUACAUGCAAGUCGAACGAACCGCGACUAGGUGCUUGCACUUGGUCAAGGUGAGUGGCGAACGGGUGAGUAACACGUGGGUAACCUACCUCAUAGUGGGGGAUAACAGUCGGAAACGACUGCUAAUACCGCAUAGGACAUAGGAUCACAUGAUUCUGUGAGGAAAGGUGGCGCAAGCUAUCGCUAAGAGAUGGACCCACGGUGCAUUAGCUAGUUGGUAGGGUAAAGGCCUACCAAGGCGAUGAUGCAUAGCCGACCUGAGAGGGUGAUCGGCCACAUUGGGACUGAGACACGGCCCAAACUCCUACGGGAGGCAGCAGUAGGGAAUCUUCCGCAAUGGACGCAAGUCUGACGGAGCAACGCCGCGUGAGUGAAGAAGGUCUUCGGAUCGUAAAGCUCUGUUGUUAGGGAAGAACAGCGCAUAGAGUAACUGUUAUGCGUGUGACGGUAUCUAACCAGAAAGCCACGGCUAACUACGUG